This 292-nucleotide ribosomal RNA is filed under the name uncultured bacterium. RNAcentral's name for it is "partial 16S ribosomal RNA". It matches the Rfam family "Bacterial small subunit ribosomal RNA", at positions 505 to 796 of the family's 1533-position model. The record is from RNAcentral.
GUGCCAGCAGCCGCGGUAAUACGUAGGGUGCAAGCGUUAUCCGGAAUCACUGGGCGUAAAGCGUGCGUAGGUGGUUUGUUAAGUGUGAUGUUAAAUCGUGGGGCUCAACCCCGUCGAUGCAUCACAUACUGGCAGACUAGAGGACAGCAGAGGCAAGUGGAAUUGGUAGUGUAGCAGUGAAAUGCGUAGAUAUUACCAGGAACACCAAUGGCGAAGGCAGCUUGCUGGGCUACUCCUGACACUGAGGUACGAAAGCGUGGGGAGCGAACAGGAUUAGAUACCCCGGUAGUCC